This 492-nucleotide ribosomal RNA is filed under the name uncultured bacterium. RNAcentral describes it as "partial 16S ribosomal RNA". It matches the Rfam family "Bacterial small subunit ribosomal RNA", at positions 29 to 507 of the family's 1533-position model. The record is from RNAcentral.
AGUGAACGCUGGCGGUAUGCCUAACACAUGCAAGUCGAACGGCAGCACAGUAAGAUCUUGCUCUUACGGGUGGCGAGUGGCGGACGGGUGAGGAAUACAUCGGAAUCUACUUUUUCGUGGGGGAUAACGUAGGGAAACUUACGCUAAUACCGCAUACGACCUACGGGUGAAAGCAGGGGAUCUUCGGACCUUUCGCGAUUGAAUGAGCCGAUGUCGGAUUAGCUAGUUUGCGGGGUAAAGGCUCACCAAGGCGACGAUCCGUAGCUGGUCUGAGAGGAUGAUCAGCCACACUGGAACUGAGACACGGUCCAGACUCCUACGGGAGGCAGCAGUGGGGAAUAUUGGACAAUGGGCGCAAGCCUGAUCCAGCCAUACCGCGUGGGUGAAGAAGGCCUUCGGGUUGUAAAGCCCUUUUGUUGGGAAAGAAAAGCAGCAGGUUAAUACCCCGCUGUUCUGACGGUACCCAAAGAAUAAGCACCGGCUAACUUCGUG